Molecule: long non-coding RNA, 240 nt
Organism: Solanum tuberosum (potato)
Lineage: Eukaryota; Viridiplantae; Streptophyta; Magnoliopsida; Solanales; Solanaceae
Exons: 3
Source: RefSeq, a predicted model, not a curated record
CUUUGGUGUGUGAAAAUUUUGAGUAAAUUUAGGGUUUUCACUAUUAAUUCACAAAUUCAUCAUGGUUUGAAGGUUUUGAUCCAUACCAUCUGAAAAGAGUUGAAAGGAGAAGAAAUUGACUACAUAAGGUAAUGGACACUAAGUACGUAAAUUUGAGGUUUCACAUCAGUGGUAUACUUGUGAGUGAGGUAGGACCUGUUUAUAUUGGGGGCAAAAAAGAAUAUGCCUUCAAUGUUGAUA